RNAcentral lists this ribosomal RNA (738 nucleotides) under Halomonas sp. M6-2A. RNAcentral describes it as "bacterial SSU rRNA". It matches the Rfam family "Bacterial small subunit ribosomal RNA", at positions 56 to 791 of the family's 1533-position model. Lineage: Bacteria; Pseudomonadati; Pseudomonadota; Gammaproteobacteria; Oceanospirillales; Halomonadaceae. The record is from RNAcentral.
UGCAAGUCGAGCGGUAACAGAUCUAGCUUGCUAGAUGCUGACGAGCGGCGGACGGGUGAGUAAUGCAUAGGAAUCUGCCCGGUAGUGGGGGAUAACCUGGGGAAACCCAGGCUAAUACCGCAUACGUCCUACGGGAGAAAGGGGGCUUCGGCUCCCGCUAUUGGAUGAGCCUAUGUCGGAUUAGCUAGUUGGUGAGGUAAUGGCUCACCAAGGCAACGAUCCGUAGCUGGUCUGAGAGGAUGAUCAGCCACAUCGGGACUGAGACACGGCCCGAACUCCUACGGGAGGCAGCAGUGGGGAAUAUUGGACAAUGGGCGCAAGCCUGAUCCAGCCAUGCCGCGUGUGUGAAGAAGGCCUUCGGGUUGUAAAGCACUUUCAGCGAGGAAGAACGCCUAGGGGUUAAUACCCACUAGGAAAGACAUCACUCGCAGAAGAAGCACCGGCUAACUCCGUGCCAGCAGCCGCGGUAAUACGGAGGGUGCGAGCGUUAAUCGGAAUUACUGGGCGUAAAGCGCGCGUAGGUGGCUUGAUAAGCCGGUUGUGAAAGCCCCGGGCUCAACCUGGGAACGGCAUCCGGAACUGUCAAGCUAGAGUGCAGGAGAGGAAGGUAGAAUUCCCGGUGUAGCGGUGAAAUGCGUAGAGAUCGGGAGGAAUACCAGUGGCGAAGGCGGCCUUCUGGACUGACACUGACACUGAGGUGCGAAAGCGUGGGUAGCAAACAGGAUUAGAUACCCUGGU